UACGUGCGGUUCAUAUACAUGCAGUCGCAGCGGACAGAUGGGAGCUUGCUCCCUGAUGUUAGCGGCGGACGGGUGAGUAACACGUGGGUAACCUGCCUGUAAGACUGGGAUAACUCCGGGAAACCGGGGCUAAUACCGGAUGCUUGUUGAACCGCAUGGUUCAGACAUAAAGGUGGCUUCCGGCUACCACUUACGAUGGACCCGGCGGCGCAAUUAGCUAGUUGGUGAGGUAACUGCUCACCAGUCGACGAUGCGUAGCGACUGAAGGUGAUCGGCACCUGGAUGAACGGCCUGACUCUUCGGAAGCACGGUAGGAUCUUCGCAUGCAGGGUCGCAGAGAUCCCGCUGGAGAUGAGGGGUUCGACUUAGGGCCUUGUGCGGGAGAACGGCGUCCAUAGGCCC
RNAcentral lists this ribosomal RNA (402 nucleotides) under Bacillus amyloliquefaciens. Its description in RNAcentral is "bacterial SSU rRNA". The stretch from base 14 to 314 matches the Rfam family "Bacterial small subunit ribosomal RNA", at positions 50 to 357 of the family's 1533-position model. The record is from RNAcentral. Lineage: Bacteria; Bacillati; Bacillota; Bacilli; Caryophanales; Bacillaceae.